AUUGAACGCUGGCGGCAGGCCUAACACAUGCAAGUCGAGCGGAUGACGGGAGCUUGCUCCUUGAUUCAGCGGCGGACGGGUGAGUAAUGCCUAGGAAUCUGCCUGGUAGUGGGGGACAACGUUUCGAAAGGAACGCUAAUACCGCAUACGUCCUACGGGAGAAAGCAGGGGACCUUCGGGCCUUGCGCUAUCAGAUGAGCCUAGGUCGGAUUAGCUAGUUGGUGGGGUAAUGGCUCACCAAGGCGAAGAUCCGUAACUGGUCUGAGAGGAUGGUCAGUCACACUGGAACUGAAACACGGUCCGGACUCCUACGGGAGGCAGCAGUGGGGAAUAUUGGACAAUGGGCGAAAGCCUGAUCCAGACAUGCCGCGUGUGUGAAGAAGGUCUUCGGAUUGUAAAGCACUUUAAGUUGGGAGGAAGGGCAGUAAGCUAAUACCUUGCUGUUUUGACGUUACCGACAGAAUAAGCACCGGCUAACUCUGUGCCAGCCGCCGCCGUAA
This 500-nucleotide ribosomal RNA is filed under the name uncultured bacterium. Its description in RNAcentral is "partial 16S ribosomal RNA". It matches the Rfam family "Bacterial small subunit ribosomal RNA", at positions 30 to 523 of the family's 1533-position model. The record is from RNAcentral.